This 253-nucleotide ribosomal RNA is filed under the name uncultured bacterium. Its description in RNAcentral is "partial 16S ribosomal RNA". It matches the Rfam family "Bacterial small subunit ribosomal RNA", at positions 524 to 776 of the family's 1533-position model. The record is from RNAcentral.
GACAGAGGGGGCAAGCGUUGUCCGGAUUUACUGGGCGUAAAGGGCGUGCAGGCGGUUUGUUAAGUGCAGGGUGAAAGCUCCCGGCUCAACUGGGAGAGGUCCUUGCAUACUGGCGAACUCGAGGGAGGCAGAGGAAAGUGGAAUUCCCGGUGUAGUGGUGAUAUGCGUAGAUAUCGGGAGGAACACCUGUGGCGAAGGCGGCUUUCUGGGCCUUACCUGACGCUGAGACGCGAAAGCGUGGGGAGCGAACCGG